Molecule: unclassified non-coding RNA, 288 nt
Filed under: uncultured fungus
Lineage: Eukaryota; Fungi
Description: partial contains small subunit ribosomal RNA, internal transcribed spacer 1, and 5.8S ribosomal RNA
Rfam family: Eukaryotic small subunit ribosomal RNA (bases 1-73)
Source: RNAcentral
CCAAACUUGGUCAUUUAGAGGAAGUAAAAGUCGUAACAAGGUCUCCGUUGGUGAACCAGCGGAGGGAUCAUUACCGAGUUGUUAAAAACUCCCACACUUGUGAACGUUACUGUCGUUUCUUCGGCGGGCACCCGGGAAGGGGUGCCGCGGCUUUACGGCCCCACCGGGGCCGCGCCCGCCGGAGAUACCCGAAACUCUUCUGAAAUUAUAGGCCUCUCUGAGCAUUAAAAAUGAAUCAAAACUUUCAACAACGGAUCUCUUGGUUCUGGCAUCGAUGAAGAACGCAGC